This 602-nucleotide ribosomal RNA is filed under the name uncultured CFB group bacterium kpj60f. RNAcentral describes it as "bacterial SSU rRNA". It matches the Rfam family "Bacterial small subunit ribosomal RNA", at positions 506 to 1105 of the family's 1533-position model. The record is from RNAcentral. Lineage: Bacteria; Pseudomonadati; Bacteroidota.
UGCCAGCCGCCGCGGUAAUACGGAGGAUGCAAGCGUUAUCCGGAUUUAUUGGGUUUAAAGGGUGCGUAGGCGGAAUAGUUAGUCAGUGGUGAAAGCCUGCGGCUUAACCGUAGAAUUGCCAUUGAUACUGCUGUUCUUGAGUGCAGUUGAGGUAAGCGGAAUGUGUAAUGUAGCGGUGAAAUGCUUAGAUAUUACACAGAACACCGAUUGCGUAGGCAGCUUACUAAACUGUUACUGACGCUGAGGCACGAAAGCGUGGGGAGCGAACAGGAUUAGAUACCCUGGUAGUCCACGCUGUAAACGAUGAUCACUCGCUGUUGGCAAUACAUCGUCAGCGGCUGAGCGAAAGCAUUAAGUGAUCCACCUGGGGAGUACGGUCGCAAGAUUGAAACUCAAAGGAAUUGACGGGGGCCCGCACAAGCGGAGGAACAUGUGGUUUAAUUCGAUGAUACGCGAGGAACCUUACCUGGGCUUAAAUGCACGAACGACGUACUGGGAAACUGGUAUUUCUUUCGGGGCGGACUGCAAGGUGCUGCAUGGUUGUCGAUCCAGCUCGUGCCCGUGAGGGUGGUCGGGCUAAGUUCCAUAACGAGCGCAACCCU